UAGCCGGCUCUGGGCCCAUCUUCCAGCACAGUGUUGGAUGGUCUAAUUGUGAAGCUCCUAACACUGUCUGGUAAAGAUGGCCCUCGGGUCGGUU
Molecule: microRNA precursor, 94 nt
Filed under: Procavia capensis (Cape rock hyrax)
Lineage: Eukaryota; Metazoa; Chordata; Mammalia; Hyracoidea; Procaviidae
Description: miRNA (ENSPCAG00000018933.1)
Rfam family: mir-8/mir-141/mir-200 microRNA precursor family (bases 12-84)
About the family: The bounds of the precursors are predicted based on conservation and base pairing and are not generally known.
Source: RNAcentral